GCUCCGUUAGUCUAGCCCGGCCAAGGACCCCGGCCUUUCGAGCCGGUGACCCGGGUUCGAAUCCCGGACGGAGCA
This 75-nucleotide transfer RNA is filed under the name Candidatus Burarchaeum australiense. RNAcentral describes it as "tRNA-Glu(ttc)". It matches the Rfam family "tRNA". From Rfam's summary of the family: Transfer RNA (tRNA) molecules are approximately 80 nucleotides in length. The record is from RNAcentral. Lineage: Archaea; Nanobdellati; Microcaldota; Candidatus Micrarchaeia; Candidatus Burarchaeales; Candidatus Burarchaeaceae. RNAcentral also lists the same sequence under 1 other name.